Molecule: ribosomal RNA, 447 nt
Filed under: uncultured bacterium
Lineage: Bacteria
Description: partial 16S ribosomal RNA
Rfam family: Bacterial small subunit ribosomal RNA
Source: RNAcentral
AACGAACGCUGGCGGCAGGCUUAACACAUGCAAGUCGAGCGCCCCGCAAGGGGAGCGGCAGACGGGUGAGUAACGCGUGGGAAUCUACCGAGCCCUACGGAAUAGUCUCGGGAAACUGGAAUUAAUACCGUAUACGCCCUUCGGGGGAAAGAUUUAUCGGGGUUUGAUGAGCCCGCGUUGGAUUAGCUAGUUGGUGGGGUAAAGGCCUACCAAGGCGACGAUCCAUAGCUGGUCUGAGAGGACGAUAAGCCACAUUGGGACUGAGACACGGCCCAAACUCAUACGGGAGGCAGCAGUGGGGAAUAUUGGACAAUGGGCGCAAGCCUGAUCCAGCCAUGCCGCGUGAGUGAUGAAGGCCCUAGGGUUGUAAAGCUCUUUCACCGGUGAAGAUAAUGACGGUAACCGGAGAAGAAGCCCCGGCUAACUUCGUGCCAGCAGCCGCCGUAA